This 460-nucleotide ribosomal RNA is filed under the name uncultured bacterium. Its description in RNAcentral is "partial 16S ribosomal RNA". It matches the Rfam family "Bacterial small subunit ribosomal RNA", at positions 338 to 795 of the family's 1533-position model. The record is from RNAcentral.
CCUACGGGCGGCAGCAGUGAGGAAUAUUGGUCAAUGGACGAGAGUCUGAACCAGCCAAGUAGCGUGAAGGAUGACUGCCCUAUGGGUUGUAAACUUCUUUUAUAAAGGAAUAAAACGAGGCACGUGUGCCUUUUUGCAUGUACCUUAUGAAUAAGGAUCGGCUAACUCCGUGCCAGCAGCCGCGGUAAUACGGAGGAUCCGAGCGUUAUCCGGAUUUAUUGGGUUUAAAGGGAGCGUAGAUGGGUUGUUAAGUCAGUUGUGAAAGUUUGCGGCUCAACCGUAAAAUUGCAAUUGAUACUGGCAGUCUUGAGUAUAGUUGAGGUAAGCGGAAUUCGUGGUGUAGCGGUGAAAUGCUUAGAUAUCACGAAGAACCCCGAUUGCGAAGGCAGCAUACUAAACUGUGACUGACAUUGAUGCUCGAAAGUGUGGGUAUCAAACAGGAUUAGAUACCCGAGUAGUC